This 441-nucleotide ribosomal RNA is filed under the name uncultured bacterium. RNAcentral describes it as "partial 16S ribosomal RNA". It matches the Rfam family "Bacterial small subunit ribosomal RNA", at positions 338 to 795 of the family's 1533-position model. The record is from RNAcentral.
CCUACGGGAGGCAGCAGUAGGGAAUUUUGCGCAAUGGGGGAAACCCUGACGCAGCAACGCCGCGUGAUCGAUGAAGCCCUUCGGGGUGUAAAGAUCUGUCAGUGGGGACGAAACCUGACGGUACCCACAGAGGAAGCACCGGCUAACUCCGUGCCAGCAGCCGCGGUAAUACGGGGGGUGCAAGCGUUGUCCGGAAUUAUUGGGUUUAAAGGGAGCGUAGGCCGGUCUUUAAGCGUGCCGUGAAAUUUUGUGGCUCAACCAUGAGAGUGCGGCGCGAACUGGAGACCUUGAGUGCGCGGAAGGCAGGCGGAAUUCGUGGUGUAGCGGUGAAAUGCUUAGAUAUCACGAAGAACCCCGAUUGCGAAGGCAGCCUGCCGCAGCGUUACUGACGCUGAAGCUCGAAAGCGCGGGUAUCGAACAGGAUUAGAUACCCCAGUAGUC